RNAcentral lists this ribosomal RNA (498 nucleotides) under uncultured bacterium. RNAcentral's name for it is "partial 16S ribosomal RNA". It matches the Rfam family "Bacterial small subunit ribosomal RNA", at positions 28 to 507 of the family's 1533-position model. The record is from RNAcentral.
GACGAACGCUGGCGGCGUGCCUAAUACAUGCAAGUCGAACGAGAGCAACCGGUGCUUGCACUGGUCAAUCUAGUGGCGAACGGGUGAGUAACACGUGGGUAACCUGCCCAUCAGAGGGGGAUAACAUCCGGAAACGGAUGCUAAAACCGCAUAGGUCUUCGAACCGCAUGGUUUGAAGAGGAAAAGAGGCGCAAGCUUCUGCUGAUGGAUGGACCCGCGGUGCAUUAGCUAGUUGGUGAGGUAACGGCUCACCAAGGCCGUGAUGCAUAGCCGACCUGAGAGGGUGAUCGGCCACAUUGGGACUGAGACACGGCCCAAACUCCUACGGGAGGCAGCAGUAGGGAAUCUUCCGCAAUGGACGCAAGUCUGACGGAGCAACGCCGCGUGAGUGAAGAAGGUUUUCGGAUCGUAAAACUCUGUUGUUAGAGAAGAACAAGUGCUAGAGUAACUGUUAGCGACUUGACGGUAGCUAACCAGAAAGCCACGGCUAACUACGUG